Molecule: ribosomal RNA, 490 nt
Filed under: uncultured bacterium
Lineage: Bacteria
Description: partial 16S ribosomal RNA
Rfam family: Bacterial small subunit ribosomal RNA
Source: RNAcentral
AGUGAACGCUGGCGGUAGGCCUAACACAUGCAAGUCGAACGGCAGCACAGGAGAGCUUGCUCUCUGGGUGGCGAGUGGCGGACGGGUGAGGAAUACAUCGGAAUCUGCCCAGUCGUGGGGGGUAACGUAGGGAAACUUACGCUAAUACCGCAUACGACCUUCGGGUGAAAGAGGGGGAUCGCAAGACCUCUCGCGAUUGGAUGAGCCGAUGUCGGAUUAGCUAGUUGGCGGGGUAAUGGCCCACCAAGGCGACGAUCCGUAGCUGGUCUGAGAGGAUGAUCAGCCACACUGGAACUGAGACACGGUCCAGACUCCUACGGGAGGCAGCAGUGGGGAAUAUUGGACAAUGGGCGCAAGCCUGAUCCAGCCAUACCGCGUGGGUGAAGAAGGCCUUCGGGUUGUAAAGCCCUUUUGUUGGGAAAGAAAUCUUUCAGGCUAAUACCCUGGGAGGAUGACGGUACCCAAAGAAUAAGCACCGGCUAACUUCGUG